Molecule: ribosomal RNA, 328 nt
Filed under: uncultured eukaryote
Lineage: Eukaryota
Description: partial 18S ribosomal RNA
Rfam family: Eukaryotic small subunit ribosomal RNA
Source: RNAcentral
CCCUUAGAUGUCCGGGGCUGCACGCGCGCUACACUGAAGGAAUCAGCGUGCUAAAACCAUUGUCGAAAGGCAUUGGUAAACCCAUUAAAAUCCUACGUGAUUGGGAUCGGGAAUUGCAAUUAUUUCCCUUGAACGAGGAAUUCCCAGUAAGUGUGGGUCAUAAGCUCGCGUUGAUUACGUCCCUGCCCUUUGUAAACACCGCCCGUCGCUGCCCGGGACUGAGCCGUUUCGAGAAAAGCGGGGACUGCUGCUGUCGGGGCUUUCGGGCCUUGGCUUCGGUGGAAACCGCUUUAAUCGCAGUGGCUUGAACCGGGCAAAAGUCGUAACA